RNAcentral lists this transfer RNA (74 nucleotides) under Pseudomonadota bacterium. RNAcentral's name for it is "tRNA-Ile". It matches the Rfam family "tRNA". Rfam says of the family: Transfer RNA (tRNA) molecules are approximately 80 nucleotides in length. Lineage: Bacteria; Pseudomonadati; Pseudomonadota. RNAcentral also lists the same sequence under 3 other names. The record is from RNAcentral.
GGGUGCAUAGCUCAGUUGGUUAGAGCGCAGCCCUGAUAAGGCUGAGGUCCCUGGUUCGAAUCCAGGUGCACCCA